Molecule: long non-coding RNA, 1622 nt
Filed under: Panax ginseng (ginseng)
Lineage: Eukaryota; Viridiplantae; Streptophyta; Magnoliopsida; Apiales; Araliaceae
Description: long non-coding RNA (PGIN_LNC003559)
Source: RNAcentral
GUUGACCGUCUGAUGGGUCUGCCUCGUUUGAAUCCUCAGUGGAACCUUAGGAGAGGUAAAAAUUUCACAAAUCGCAGCCGAAUUUCCUUCAUAAAAUUCUUGCUUCGGGCUUUUCUUUCUGCAUCUGCAAUUACUACUCCCUUGUUGGUUUCCUCGUCUAUGAUUUGAUUGACCUUGGGUAUUAUGAGGUUUAUCGCGUUGAUGGGGAUCUUCCUCAUUAGCUCUUUAAAACCUGCUUCGAUGAGAUUUGGCAUGAGGGAAGUUAAUAGGUGGAUUGGCACCUUCUUGUCAGGAUUACGGUGUUUGAAACCACCAGAGUAACCAGUCCGGCCUUCCCAAACUACGUUUGUAUGUGGAUCAGGUUAUUCAUUCCUUGACCUACGUAUGCCUAGCCCUUGACCCAGAUUGAACAUCUCUUGACCGAUCGUCAUUACCUCUAGUGAUAUCAUAAGUUUAAUUAUUGGCGAACCCAUUGAUUCAUAAUGAGGGGUACUUACUUCAAAAGCUUGGAAACUGGCAGGCUCAAUUCCUUCGUUUAAGCUGAUUAGGGCCAUCUCACCCUGUGUAUGACUCAGAUACUCAGACUCAGCGCUUAUGGUGACCAAGUUACCAUUAACGAUAUAUUUUAAUUGUUAGAGGAGAGUGGAGGGAACUGCCCCAGCCAUGUGAAUCUAUGGUCGUCCCAACACCAGAUUAUAUCCAGUAGUGAUGUUUAAUACUUGGAAGGACACGUUCAAAGUGUAUGGGCCAAUUUCCAUGAGAAGCUCAAUUUCCCCCACUGUGUCUCUCCAUGAUCCGUCGAAAGCACUAACCACGACGUAACUAUCUUGGAUCCUGUUUGAGUUGAUCUUCAUUCUCCAGAGGGUGUCACAGGGGCAAAUAUUUAAAGUGGAGCCGCCGUCGAUCAGGACUCCUUCUAUAACAAUCCCUGAUGAUAUAAUCGCGAUGUGCAGAAGUUUGUGAUGCCCAGUUCCUUCCGUUGGUAUAUCGUCAACUAUAUCACAUUGCUAUAAAGUACGUGUUUUUCCGUGUCGAUUAUUUUAGGCAGGUGUGCUUCUUCCAACACUUGGAUUAGAAUCCGGUGAUGGUCCUCAUAGGCUAGUACCAGAUCUAGGAUAGAGGUUUGGGAGGGUGCUUCUUUCAGCUCCAUUACUGUCCUUACCUCAUUGUGUCCCAUCUUAGUUAGGAACUCCACAAUCUUUCCCUCAGGUACUUUUCCUGCAGUCUUAGCUAUUCGCUUCAUCACUUACCCAGGAAGGUAAUGUGGAAUGUCUUUUUAAAAGAUUGUCGUAUAUUACUUCAAAAGCUUGGAAACUCGCAGGCUCAAUACGUACCUUCGUUUAAGCUGAUCAGGGGCAUCUCACCUUGUGUAUGACUCAGAUAAUCAGACUCAGCGCUGAUGGUGAUCAAGUUACUAUUGCCGAUAUAUUUUAAUUAUUGGUGGAGAGUGGAGGAACUUCCCCAGCCAUGUGAAUCUAUGGUCAUCCCAACAACAGAUAAUAUCCGGUAGUGAUGUUUAAUACUUGGAAGGACACGUUGAAAGAGUAUGGGCCAAUUUCCAUGGGAAGCUCAAUUUCCCCCACUGUAUCUCUCCAUGAUUCGUCGAAAGCACUAACCAUGAC